This 447-nucleotide ribosomal RNA is filed under the name uncultured bacterium. RNAcentral describes it as "bacterial SSU rRNA". It matches the Rfam family "Bacterial small subunit ribosomal RNA", at positions 355 to 825 of the family's 1533-position model. The record is from RNAcentral.
UCGGGAAUUUUGGGCAAUGGGCGAAAGCCUGACCCAGCAACGCCGCGUGAAGGAUGAAGUAUUUCGGUAUGUAAACUUCGUAAGAAUAGGAAGAAUAAAUGACGGUACUAUUUGUAAGGUCCGGCUAACUACGUGCCAGCAGCCGCGGUAAUACGUAGGGGGCGAGCGUUGUCCGGAAUCAUUGGGCGUAAAGCGCGUGUAGGCGGCUUGAUAAGUCUGGUGUGAAAUCUUGGGGCUCAACCCCAAGCCUGCACUGGAUACUGUCAAGCUUGAGUCCGGGAGGGGAGAGCGGAAUUCCUAGUGUAGCGGUGAAAUGCGCAGAUAUCAGGAGGAACACCGGUGGCGAAGGCGGGUCUCUGGGCAGUAACUGACGCUGAGGAACGAAAGCGUGGGUAGCGAACAGGAUUAGAUACCCCCGUAGUCCCUGAGCGGGCUGGCAAGGCGCAU